This 344-nucleotide unclassified non-coding RNA is filed under the name soil metagenome. Its description in RNAcentral is "partial contains 5.8S ribosomal RNA, internal transcribed spacer 2, and large subunit ribosomal RNA". The stretch from base 1 to 120 matches the Rfam family "5.8S ribosomal RNA", at positions 35 to 154 of the family's 154-position model. The record is from RNAcentral.
GAUGAAGAACGUAGCGAAAUGCGAUAAGUAAUGUGAAUUGCAGAAUUCAGUGAAUCAUCGAAUCUUUGAACGCACAUUGCGCCCGCCAGUAUUCUGGCGGGCAUGCCUGUUCGAGCGUCAUUUCAACCCUCACGCCCCCGGGCUUGGUGUUGGGGAUCGGCGUGCCCUCGCGGCGCGCCGUCCCCUAAAUCUAGUGGCGGUCUCGCUGUAGCUUCCUCUGCGUAGUAGCAACACUCGCACUGGAUCGCAGCGCGGCCACGCCGUUAAACCCCCCACUUCUGAAAGUUUGACCUCGGAUCAGGUAGGAAUACCCGCUGAACUUAAGCAUAUCAAUAAGCGGAGGA